Molecule: long non-coding RNA, 1229 nt
Organism: Haliotis rubra (blacklip abalone)
Lineage: Eukaryota; Metazoa; Mollusca; Gastropoda; Lepetellida; Haliotidae
Exons: 3
Source: RefSeq, a predicted model, not a curated record
AUGAUUUCAUACGUGCAAAUAUACAUCUGUACGUAUCAUAUGCUAUGUGCUUUUGUAAUAUUUCACGCAGAACGUUUUGUAUAUGACAAAAAAUGAUAAAAAUUCACUUGGUGUCGCGACUACUGGUGUGGAUUACACAUAUGUGACAAUAGCCACCACAAGCAAAUCAGCUACAUACAUUUUCUAUAUAUAACAACAGCUGUUUCAGGGAAGUGAAUUGAUUUGCCUGCUCUACAAUGGACAGUGUUCGUGUGAACGGGUUUGUGUGAGCGGCUGGAUGAAUGUUGUCCAGUACUGUAACCUGUCUUAAACUGAAACAACUAAACAUUAACAUCAUUUCAACACAUCUGGAUCAAAGAAACCUACAAUAUAUACCAACACAGUCAGCUUGAACGUACGUCAAACCAUCCGAUCCAAAUUUUUUCGAAACACAUUGACCAAACGUUUCAGAGACAAAUGCACACACCACAAAUUCAUACUGUAUAGAAAUUAGGUAAUAAUACAUAUAGAAUAUAUGACAUGAUACCAAAAUAAUAGUUUAUGCAUAUAUCAGUACAUAAAAACACUAAAUAUUAACAUAGCAUUCUGCAUAAAUUUAAUACAAUGCCCCGAAAGGUUAUCGACAAAGUAACGCUAAUACAACGAGCGCAACAUUGUUUAUGCCUUUGGGAUCUCCCAGUAGGAUCGUCGAAUUAAUUCCAGUAGACAUACAGCGCCAGAUGGAGAAAGCGUCGAUAUCUCACGCCACUCAGCCCUCGAGAUGUUAUCACACCGCCCCAAGCUUGCUGUCGAGCCCUGGAAAGAAGAUACAUGGGUUACACCCAAUUAUCCACGUAAAUAUUCCAGGAAGUGAUUCUAGAUGGACAUCAUCCAAGCGCGUCAGCUUGACGAUUGAGGGACUACCGAAAUGGAUGCAAGUCUGAGACGUGAAACUCCUACAUACGGGUGGUGACAAACCCGGAAAAACACACUGGGCAAACCGAGAUUGGUAACAACGUUCAUAGCUUCCUGGCACGCCCAAGGGACUUAACUUUUGACGGCGAAUGUAGUGGAUAGACGACCAUGUGUAUCUGAUUCUCUGACGAUAUAUCUGAGGCUAAAUGGCUUCUCGUGGAGGCGCUUUGCCUGCUACCUUACUUGUUGGAGCUCACGGACACAGUCAAUGUUGGCUUUGAUGUAGUGAAGAGACGUCCAUGCAAUGAUGCAUACGUCAUUGCCACGUCAGGUGU